UGUGCGUAAUUUAAAAAAAAUAUCAAGCUGUGACCUUGACAAUAGAAAACAUUCCCUCGCACACC
RNAcentral lists this transfer RNA (65 nucleotides) under Calliophis castoe. Its description in RNAcentral is "tRNA-His". The record is from RNAcentral. Lineage: Eukaryota; Metazoa; Chordata; Lepidosauria; Squamata; Elapidae.